ACAGGCACAGCCGGUUUGAGCAUUUUUACUGAAUUGCCAAACCAGUCGUGCCUGUGG
Pan troglodytes (chimpanzee) is the source of this 57-nucleotide microRNA precursor. It matches the Rfam family "mir-6715 microRNA precursor family". Lineage: Eukaryota; Metazoa; Chordata; Mammalia; Primates; Hominidae. The record is from Rfam.